UGGGGAAUCUUGGACAAUGGGCGCAAGCCUGAUCCAGCCAUGCCGCGUGAGCGAUGAAGGCCUUAGGGUUGUAAAGCUCUUUCACCGGUGAAGAUAAUGACGGUAGCCGGAGAAGAAGCCCCGGCUAACUCCGUGCCAGCAGCCGCGGUAAUACGGAGGGGGCUAGCGUUGUUCGGAAUUACUGGGCGUAAAGCGCGCGUAGGCGGACUGAUCAGUCAGGGGUGAAAUCCCGGGGCUCAACCCCGGAACUGCCUUUGAUACUGUCAGUCUUGAGUCCGGAAGAGGCGAGUGGAAUACCGAGUGUAGAGGUGAAAUUCGUAGAUAUUCGGUGGAACACCAGUGGCGAAGGCGACUCGCUGGUCCGGUACUGACGCUGAGGCGCGAAAAGCGUGGGGAGCAAACAGGAUUAGAUACCCUGGUAGUCCACGCCGUAAACGAUGUCUGCUAGUCGUUGGGGGGCGUAGCCCUUCAGUGACGCCGCUAACGCAUUAAGC
This 494-nucleotide ribosomal RNA is filed under the name uncultured bacterium. RNAcentral describes it as "bacterial SSU rRNA". It matches the Rfam family "Bacterial small subunit ribosomal RNA", at positions 355 to 865 of the family's 1533-position model. The record is from RNAcentral.